AUUUUGGUUUGUUUCAGUUUAACUUUAUUUAACUUUUUUACACAUAAAAUCAUGUAAUUAUGACCUUGAAUGCAGUCCUGGUCCUGAUCCGCAGGGUCACACAGGAGCCGUCUGUUCAAUCCAUUCUUUUCAGUUUACUACUACAACUAAGCAACUAAACCUUUAUGAAGGAGGCCUUAUUGUGCACCUUCAGUCUGAACAAGUCUGAUAACAGAUCCUGAAACAGACAAUUUAAUUCUAAAACCGUAAUGUUGAGUUUUACAGAAGGUCCAGGGAGGAGGUUGCUCCCACUCAUCCUGGGCACGAAUGUCUCAUUUUAAUCAUUUCUCUUUCUGGAUUAUACAACAUAUAUGUUCCAUCAUUUUAACAACAAGAACUAGGUGCUUCAUUUAGAAUUUAUUUGGGAUUUUCUCAGAUUCACACAGGUUCUAAUUAUACAAACAUCCCAAUAUUCAUACAAUAUCUGGUCAAUAGAUGGUUGCUCCUCAACCAUCUGCUUAUGGUUCUGUGUCCAGCUUUCAACCAUCCAGCUGUUGAUUUGAGAUAAAGUUAAGUCAUGUGGACCUGGUACUUAUUUUAUCCUCUUAGUGCAUUGCACCAGUACCACAGUCAGCCAAACAGCCCACAGCAUGGUGCUGCCCCCACCAUACUUGACAGAUGGUAAAGUGGUCCUAGGCUUAAAAGCUUCACCUUGACUCCUUGAAACAUACUUCUUGUCUUUGUGUCCAAACAGUUGAGAGACCAGUGGCCUCUGAGGUCCUUCUGGCUAUUCAAAAAUCACCUCAGGAAGCGGCCAUAUUCUGCACGGCAUCGAUGAAAAAUAUAGCCACCAGUGUGGGAUGACGAGGUGUUGUGGGUGUUGAGGUCAACACUAAUGCUUAGUCUUAGCAGCUUCGAUUGUCACAGCGUCGCCACAUCACUCCCUCGACCCGUGAAGCCGGCUCGAGUCGCAGAACUCUGCCGAUGCAGGGAUGUGAGCCGGGUUGACUUUAACCCCCCUGGGCACAUUGGUCCAAAACACAUGGAGAUGGCUAAAAGGCGCCUCAAUCCUGCCUUAAAGUGUUUUGUGGAAGAGGCUGCUGAAUCUAUGAGCUAACCUCUUAAAGAAGAUCAUAACAACCAGUGAAAACAGACUUUUUAUUAAUAAAUGCCAUUUAUCUUUAUUUGUUGAAGAAUAAAGUUUGCUCUGCUG
Molecule: long non-coding RNA, 1192 nt
Organism: Girardinichthys multiradiatus
Lineage: Eukaryota; Metazoa; Chordata; Actinopteri; Cyprinodontiformes; Goodeidae
Exons: 2
Source: RefSeq, a predicted model, not a curated record